RNAcentral lists this ribosomal RNA (366 nucleotides) under uncultured Thermus sp. RNAcentral's name for it is "bacterial SSU rRNA". It matches the Rfam family "Bacterial small subunit ribosomal RNA", at positions 1017 to 1382 of the family's 1533-position model. The record is from RNAcentral. Lineage: Bacteria; Thermotogati; Deinococcota; Deinococci; Thermales; Thermaceae.
ACUUCGGUACAUCGGUGACAGGUGGUGCAUGGUUGUCGUCAGCUCGUGUCGUGAGAUGUUCGGGUUAAGUCCCGCAACGAGCGCAACCCCCGCCGUUAGUUGCCAGCGGUUCGGCCGGGCACUCUAACGGGACUGCCCGCGAAAGCGGGAGGAAGGAGGGGGACGACGUCUGGUCAGCAUGGCCCUUACGGCCUGGGCGACACACGUGCUACAAUGCCCACUACAAAGCGAUGCCACCCGGCAACGGGGAGCUAAUCGCAAAAAGGUGGGCCCAGUUCGGAUUGGGGUCUGCAACCGACCCCAUGAAGCCGGAAUCGCUAGUAAUCGCGGAUCAGCCAUGCCGCGGUGAAUACGUUCCCGGGCCUU